Long non-coding RNA from Homo sapiens (human), 724 nucleotides. The record is from Ensembl. Lineage: Eukaryota; Metazoa; Chordata; Mammalia; Primates; Hominidae.
UUAAGCGACCCACAAGCAUAUCCUUCUUUGUCCAAGGUUUGUUUUGAAAGUGGGCAACGCCCUAACUGGGUAGGGGAUAGUUGCCAUCUUAGCUUAGGUAGGGGCUGGCAAGGAAAACGUGUCUGGGGGGCCCUGUAGUCUUCAGAUAGAAAAGUAGGUGCCUUCUGUUAGCCAUGGCUGCUUGGAUGGCCAAAGGCCACUGUGGGUUUUUCAGCAGCGCUUUUAGCAGAAUUCCUUCACACUGCCCCCACCCCACUUGCAGAUGAUGGAAGGCUUGCUGGCAAUUACUGAAAGAAAAUGGGAGGUGGGAAAAUGGAGCUGCAUUUAUAUUUUACUUCCUGAAUGUCAAGGUGAUGCUGGCACAAAUAUUAAAGGGAACAUUCCCCUUCUUUGGGAUAUAGGAAAUGCUGCUGCAAACUUAGAGAUAAGGGAAGAGAUAUGCAGAGUUAAUGAGGACCAGCUUUACCUCUCAAGUGCCCAGAAAUGGCUUUAAUAAUCAGGUCUGGGUUCUUUGAGGCUUCCUUUCUUUAACUUAGACCAUUCCUUCCCAACAGAAAUACAGAUUUCUCCUUUUACCUUCUGGCUGGCCAUUAGAUAGGGGGCUAAAACUUCGAAUAAAUCUCACUGUCAAAAACUUUUGAUUUAUCCAGAAUAUUUGGGUUUUCUCAUUUUUUUUAAAAAGGAAAUAACAGGUUAUUGAAUAAAGAAUUUCAUUAAUGGUUAA